GAGAGGCGCAUCUGCGCAGGCGCCCGGCUCCUAAGUCUACCCAGGAACUGACCCUGCUCUCUCCUUUCCCUGUUAGACAUGGGCACUCCACAGAAGGAUGUUAUUAUCAAGUCAGAUGCACCGGACACUUUGUUAUUGGAGAAACAUGCAGAUUAUAUCGCAUCCUAUGGCUCAAAGAAAGAUGAUUAUGAAUACUGUAUGUCUGAGUAUUUGAGAAUGAGUGGCAUCUAUUGGGGUCUGACAGUAAUGGAUCUCAUGGGACAACUUCAUCGCAUGAAUAGAGAAGAGAUUCUGGCAUUUAUUAAGUCUUGCCAACAUGAAUGUGGUGGAAUAAGUGCUAGUAUCGGACAUGAUCCUCAUCUUUUAUACACUCUUAGUGCUGUCCAGAUUCUUACGCUGUAUGACAGUAUUAAUGUUAUUGACGUAAAUAAAGUUGUGGAAUAUGUUAAAGGUCUACAGAAAGAAGAUGGUUCUUUUGCUGGAGAUAUUUGGGGUCCCACUAAGCAGCUGGUCUAACUGGAGUUAAUGGUCUGCUGGAACUUCCAGCAUGCACUGUGGUAGUUAUAUCAGCAUAUACAGGAGCACUGGAACAGAGGGGGCCAGUCUAAAAGAUAAGGGAUGAACACAGUGCAGGCCAGAGAGACCAGCUGCUUCAUGGGAUGUGAAAAAUCUACUUUUAUAAAGUAGGGAGAAAUUGACACAAGAUUCUCUUUUUGUGCGGUGGCAACUUUGGCUUUGUUGGGGAAGCUUGAUGCUAUUAAUGUGGAAAAGGCAAUCGAAUUUGUUUUAUCCUGUAUGAACUUUGACGGUGGAUUUGGUUGCAGACCAGGUUCUGAAUCCCAUGCUGGGCAGAUCUAUUGUUGCACAGGAUUUCUGGCAAUUACAAGUCAGUUGCAUCAAGUAAAUUCUGAUUUACUUGGCUGGUGGCUUUGUGAACGACAAUUACCCUCAGGCGGGCUCAAUGGAAGGCCGGAGAAGUUACCAGAUGUAUGCUACUCAUGGUGGGUCCUGGCUUCCCUAAAGAUAAUUGGAAGACUUCAUUGGAUUGAUAGAGAGAAACUGCGUAAUUUCAUUUUAGCAUGUCAAGAUGAAGAAACGGGGGGAUUUGCAGACAGGCCAGGAGAUAUGGUGGAUCCUUUUCAUACCUUAUUUGGAAUUGCUGGAUUGUCACUUUUGGGAGAAGAACAGAUUAAACCUGUUAAUCCUGUCUUUUGCAUGCCUGAAGAAGUGCUUCAGAGAGUGAAUGUUCAGCCUGAGCUAGUGAGCUAGAUUCAUUGAAUUGAAAGUUGCAUAGUAUAGUUUUGCCAUUUUAACAUUUCUGUAUUUGAAGUGCUUAUCGAAUCUAAAAGUGACUACUGUUAAUAUUUUGUAUAUUGUGUUAAAUUAAUUUUAAUAAAUUAUAUAAUUAUACAUAUUGUAAAAUAAAGACCGGUAUUUUAUUUUCUGCUUUUUAUUCUGAAGUCCUGUUAUUCUGACUACAGUUCUUUGUGUAUACUUCUGUGUCUGUUAUGUUCAAUAACUGAGCUAACAUAAAAUAACUCUAGGUUUCUACUUGAUUUUUCCCCCAUGUAUACCUUUCAUCUGUUCUAUAGCAAGUUGAUGUAAAUUGGUUUGUCAACAAGAAUGUUAACUGAUGAAAGUGGAUAGAACCCAUACAUGAAUUAAAUGAUGCACAAAAUAAAUGGCUGUUGAAAUUUGGAAAUGAUUGA
This is an RNA transcript of Homo sapiens (human), 1709 nucleotides long. It is a transcript of the gene named Rab geranylgeranyltransferase subunit beta, with no coding region annotated. The transcript is spliced from 11 exons. The record is from RefSeq and is marked reviewed. Lineage: Eukaryota; Metazoa; Chordata; Mammalia; Primates; Hominidae.